CUUGUACACACCGCCCGUCACACCAUGGGAGCGGGAUGUACCAGAAGUAGGUAGGCUAACCGCAAGGGGGCCGCUUACCACGGUGCGUCUCGUGACUGGGGUG
RNAcentral lists this ribosomal RNA (103 nucleotides) under uncultured bacterium. RNAcentral describes it as "partial 16S ribosomal RNA". It matches the Rfam family "Bacterial small subunit ribosomal RNA", at positions 1380 to 1482 of the family's 1533-position model. The record is from RNAcentral.